Molecule: ribosomal RNA, 397 nt
Filed under: uncultured bacterium
Lineage: Bacteria
Description: partial 16S ribosomal RNA
Rfam family: Bacterial small subunit ribosomal RNA
Source: RNAcentral
AUACGUAGGGGGCGAGCGUUGUCCGGAAUGAUUGGGCGUAAAGGGCGCGUAGGCGGCGCGGUAAGUCUGGAGUGAAAGUCCUGCUUUCAAGGUGGGAAUUGCUUUGGAUACUGCCGCGCUUGAGUGCAGGAGAGGUUAUCGGAAUUCCCGGUGUAGCGGUGAAAUGCGUAGAGAUCGGGAGGAACACCAGUGGCGAAGGCGGGUAACUGGACUGCAACUGACGCUGAGGCGCGAAAGUGUGGGGAGCAAACAGGAUUAGAUACCCUGGUAGUCCACACUGUAAACGAUGAAUGCUAGGUGUAAGAGGUAUCGACCCCUUUUGUGCCGGAGUCAACACAAUAAGCAUUCCGCCUGGGGAGCACGGCCGCAAGGUUGAAACUCAAAUGAAUUGGCGGGG